CACUUCUCAGCCGGCCAGGGGAUUAGGGCACAACUCCCGGUCACAUGACGGCACACACGUGAUUCCACGGACUCGGAAGCCGGUCACAAGACGGGCGGAGCCUUGAGGGAUCCUCAGAAGUUUGUCCCUUUUUUUCCAGGGUGGUGAAGGCUGCACGUCGGUUCAGGGAGUGCAGCGUCUGUGGGCUCAGUUUCUCCAUCCGUUCAAUGGGCGCGGGAAUAUUUUGAGUUUAUUGCCAGAAAUUCCUAAAACCAAUAGUGAGAUAUGAAGGAAGAGCUGACCCAGAGACUAUCAAAAGGUGUCACCUGGGAUCUGGAGGCACCACCGCUAGGAGACAGAAUGGGUAUGGACUAAUGGAGUGGCUGCAUCUUUUGGACCACAGGAGACUAGCUUGACUUCUGGGGAUGGAUCAAGGAGAAGAAAUCAAGAUGUGCAAACUAGAAAAAAUCCCAGGCAUCCAGUAUAGUGAGAUAUCGCAGGUCGACAAGUCAUAUAUGCAGGAAAAGAACCCUUGGUGGAGUCAAGAUGGCGGCUUAGCAAGCAGCAAAAGUUCAGACCUCGUGGAAGACCCUUCCUUAACCGAUACAGACUGAAUGCUCCUAGGGCACGGAAAUUCAAGUUCAUUUGGAAGAACAAAAGAUCAAGGAUAUCCAGGGAAAUCAUGAAAAAAAAAUGCAAAGGAAGGAGGACUUGCAGUCCCAGGUC
RNAcentral lists this long non-coding RNA (705 nucleotides) under Monodelphis domestica (gray short-tailed opossum). RNAcentral's name for it is "lncRNA (ENSMODG00000049953.1)". Lineage: Eukaryota; Metazoa; Chordata; Mammalia; Didelphimorphia; Didelphidae. The record is from RNAcentral.